RNAcentral lists this ribosomal RNA (264 nucleotides) under uncultured bacterium. RNAcentral's name for it is "partial 16S ribosomal RNA". It matches the Rfam family "Bacterial small subunit ribosomal RNA", at positions 793 to 1055 of the family's 1533-position model. The record is from RNAcentral.
GUCCACGCCCUAAACUAUGUCAACUGGGUGUUCGGGAAGCGAUUUCUGAGUACAGUAGCUAACGCGUGAAGUUGACCGCCUGGGGAGUACGGCCGCAAGGUUAAAACUCAAAGGAAUUGACGGGGACCCGCACAAGCGGUGGAUGAUGUGGAUUAAUUCGAUGCAACGCGAACAACCUUACCUACCCUUGACAUGUCCGAGAGCCUGCUGAGAGGCGGGUGUGCCCGAAAGGGAAUCGGAACACAGGUGCUGCAUGGCUGUCGU